GGAUUAGUCAAAGAGUCAACGCGCUCUCCACCUACACCGAAUUACGAAACUACCCCUUUAUUUUCCCCGAUUCCCUCUUUAUCCUCCUCACUAACACCAAAAGCCACACAAACCGAGUUUUUGGCGACAAAACAAUCAGAGCUCAUUUUCUGUGUGGCUUCUGUUUCUCUCUCGAAAGCGAAAAGGAAAAUCGGAAUUCAGUUGUUUGGAUCGGGAUUCUGCAAACUAUUGAUUGCUCCACUUCGAUGAUCUGAUUGAUCCGAUCCAUUCGAUUCGUCAUGGACCGGAUCGUCGGCGGCAAGUUCAAGCUAGGCCGGAAAAUCGGUAGCGGCUCGUUCGGUGAAAUUUUUCUAGCUACGCAUAUCGACACAUUUGAGAUCGUCGCUGUCAAGAUUGAAAACAGUAAAACAAAGCAUCCUCAAUUACUAUAUGAGGCCAAGCUAUACCUUACACUUCAAGGAGGAAGUGGAAUUCCUGGCAUAAAAUGGUCUGGCCUAGAUGGGGAGGAAAAUGUGCUUGUUCUUGAUUUGCUGGGACCUAGUUUGGAGGAUUUGUUUGUGUAUUGUGGAAGGAAGUUUUCUUUGAAGACAGUCGUAAUGCUGGCCGAUCAGAUGAUUACGAGGAUAGAGUAUGUGCAUUCCAAAGGAUAUUUGCAUAGAGACAUAAAACCAGACAACUUCCUCAUGGGUCUUGGUCGGAAAGCAAAUCAGGUUUACAUAAUUGAUUUUGGACUUGCAAAAAGAUAUAGGGAUUCUACAACCAAUCGUCACAUUCCUUACAGGGAGAACAAAAACUUAACAGGGACUGCAAGAUAUGCAAGCUGCAAUACGCAUCUUGGAAUUGAGCAAAGUCGAAGGGAUGAUUUAGAGUCACUUGGAUAUGUACUUCUGUAUUUCUUGAGAGGAAGCCUUCCAUGGCAGGGUUUAAAAGCUGCCACAAAAAAGCAAAAAUAUGACAAGAUAUGCGAAAAGAAGUUAUCAACUCCAAUUGAGGUUCUAUGUAAAUCUCACCCUGUGGAGUUCGCAUCGUAUUUCCAUUAUUGUCACUCGUUGACAUUCGAUCAAAGACCUGAUUAUGGAUUCUUGAAGCGGCUAUUCCGUGAUUUGUUUUCUCGUGAAGGAUAUGAAUUUGAUUACAUAUUUGACUGGACUAUCAUAAAAUACCAGCAGGCACAAAAAAAUAAAACACAAGCUCGAUUGUCUCCAGCUCAUGGAGGGAGCAAUAAUCAUGCUAUGCAAAUGGAUAUAGGUAGUCAUCAAGUGGCUGGAGCUGCCAAUGUUUCUUACUCACCAGAGGUCACGGACCGCAUUCGAUCUACCAAUGCUACUGGUCGUGGCAUUCACAUGCAAUUUAAACAGCCAGUGACAAAGAAUUUGAGUCAUGGUAAUCCUCUUGAAAAGAAUGUUGUCAGUGAUGUCUACAUGCCAUCUUCUUCUCAUACACUUGCUGGCACCUCAAGAAGGCAUGCACAUAAAUCUGUUUUGCCAACUGAAUCUGCAAAUUCUGGUCAUGAAAGUGGUAAUAAAGUGGGUCCUUCAAGUAGCUGGAUUUCAUCUCUUCAACGCGUGUCUUCUGCCAAGUGAUCUGGAAGCAGUGUCAUGGGUUCAAGAGUUUCCCUACCAAGACGUUCAUGAAGCUGCAGAUAUGAGAUUUUUAUAUCUUUCAGACUGGGGUCUCUGGUGUUCCUUGGAGCUUUUCUCUCCUGCUACUUCUGAAGUUACCCAGCAAACUGUCGAGUACAUCAGAAAGACAGAAACUCAACUUCAAGUGAGGGGAAACUUUGGCUCAAAAUGCUCUAGGAAUAUGACACUUUAGACACAUUAAAGGUAGUGUUUAUGGCUGCAUGAUUUACACCAAAUACAUGGUUGUGUGUUAAUAUGCUAUGUAGAAAGGUCUUCUAAUGCUUUUUAGCUAUUACUUCAUUUGAGACAUAUUUAUAACAAAUGGUUUGUAGAAAUUUGCUAAAGCUGAUUUACUUCUGUCUAUCACCAUUCUACUUUCCAAAAUGAACUCUAUAUUUCUGGGUAGAAGGAAUUUGCUUUUUCGUAUAAUUGUUUCUAUCUUGUAAAACGAUUACUUUUUUCUUCCGCAAAUGUGAUUAAUUAGUGUAUUGCUAUCAUAUGGUAUGAGGUUUUAGUAGCACAAGAAUGUUGAUAUUUUUUUAAUCCCAUGUACAUGAAGCAAGGUUUAGCACAUUUUCUCCCCUUGGAGGGUGAUUUCACUUUUAUGCUAAUUAGGGUAAUCUGAAACGUAUUAGAGUUCACUCUGUGAACUGCUUGCUGCUUAGGCUUAGGCCAUCUCAUUUGUCAGAUGCCAGCAUUCCUCAUCCAAAGCCCGACCAAGCUGAUCUCUAGUCAGCCGACCAAGCUCAUUUCUUUGGGACUGGUGAUUCAUAGACUGGCUAAGCAAUGCUUCUUAUCUUAUCACCAGCCAGAAGAUUGCUUGGGUUUUGGAUUGUCAAUCAGAGUCUUAGGUCAGGUAUUUGGCAUUUGCUUGUGAUUCUGUAGGUUUGAUUAUUGUAAGCCAUUUCUUUCCUUGUUUUUAGUUUUGGCUUCUUUUUUGUUUUGUUUCUUUAAAAUUCCUGAAGGCAAGCUCAGAUCUUUUUCUGCAAGUAAAAACAUAUCACACAAAAGAAUAUUACAUAAAUUAUCCAUAACCGUACACCAAAACGAAAGAAAAUGAAAGAAACUAUAAUUUUCCACCCAUCAAUAACAAAGGAAAACAGAUAAGGCACAAAACUCCAAAGAACUUUAAAAAUUUAGCUCUUUUGUUUGUUUGUUUUUCCAUUCUUAUUUCACGUUUGGAAUAAUUAGCCUGGUGUAUUCUCAAAGUUAUACUUUUUUUUUUGUCGCGCCACUAUUUUGUUAAUUAUCUGAACAAUUUCCUGUUUUAGAUUUUCAGUUACUAUUUCAAUACCUGCUAGUGGGACAAGUUUUUAUGUUAAUUUAAAAAUCUUACUAUUUUUCAUGAUCAUGUACUUUGUUUGCUCUCGUUUUGUCCAAAUAUUCAAGUGGAUGGUUUACAUUGUUCUGCGGAACAAAAUUGCAGAGCUUAGUUACAUUUUCAACUCAUUCAGUAUAUUUUUCUCGUUUGUUGUCAUUUACUUUAGGGUAAAUGGCAUGGACGCCUCAUGAAUUUUUAGUCAGUCAGGAAAAUGAUUCUUCGAUUAAUUUUUCUUGUAAUAAGUACUUAAAUUUAGUUUAAUUAUCGAUCAACUCUAAAUUGAAUUUUUUUGACAGUUAUAUUGUUUUUAUUUGAGAAGAUAUGCUUACAAGAAUUAUAAGUUCAAAUGAUUACAAGUUCAAAAUUUAAUUUUCGAAUUUUCAACAAAUUCUAGAUAUCGAAAUUUGUUACAAAUUUACAAAUGUGGAGUUAAUGGUCAUUAUUUUUAAAUGCAAAGCUAACAUUUGAAGACCAUUUUGCUAAUCUAGAUAAAUUCAGGAGUCAACUGUGCUAUAGACCUUUUGUUUUUUAUUCCUUUCCUCAAGGUUUUUAACCAUUUCGCUAUGUCUCUCUGCAAUCAAUUAAUAGAUUUAAUAGACUUACAUGUAUAAAUAAUCUGUAUAAUUGUACUUGAUGUGUGCUCAGUUACUAAAUGCUUUUCAUUUAAAUGAUGGAUUCUUUUUUUUUCUUUCUUUUUUGUCUUGCAUAACAUGACUUUAGUGUUUUCAGCAUUUCAUGAUUUAAUGCUGAUCUCAUUCAAAACAGUGUGGCCCUCAACCCUUGCUAAGACCACCAUAACUGCUGGACUUUUUAUGUAUGGUUGCUUGUUUGAUUGAAUUUGUGUCCUUGGUUUAGAUAAGGUUCCAUAAUAUCAAGCAACUGAAUAUCUUGUGCUCUAUGAAUUUUCAGUUUACUUCUCCCUUUUGCAAAAGCAGGGAAAUGUUUCAAAGCUGGCCAAGGGAAUUGUCCUCGUGUUGAACAUAGGAUCCAAGUUACAUGGGCCAGAGGUCUUUGUCAUAAAGAAUGAUUUGGCUAAUUUGUAAUUCACUUUCCCAGUUUGGUCCGCAAGAGGAGAGAAAAUUACUGACCCCUCAAUCCUCGACGAGUCGAAAAGCUUAGGUAUCUCAUUGAUUGGGGGCCAGAUUCAAGCUAAAACACUAUGUCCCACCCCUGCCCCAUGACCCUGUUUAUGUUUGACAUCACAAGAAGAUUUUAAAUUCUUGAUGGCAAGUUUAUUUUGUGGUUGUUUACUCAAAUAUAUGAAAUUAAUACCACAAGUUUAUAUAAAGUGUGCUUUCUUCUCA
Humulus lupulus (European hop) is the source of this 4247-nucleotide RNA transcript. It is a transcript of the gene named casein kinase 1-like protein 3, with no coding region annotated. The transcript is spliced from 17 exons. NCBI's taxonomy places the organism in Eukaryota, Viridiplantae, Streptophyta, Magnoliopsida, Rosales, Cannabaceae. The record is from RefSeq and is a predicted model, not a curated record.